This 29-nucleotide non-coding RNA is filed under the name Mus musculus (house mouse). Lineage: Eukaryota; Metazoa; Chordata; Mammalia; Rodentia; Muridae. The record is from RNAcentral.
UGUGCUGAAAUUUGCAGCCACGAUGUUUC